Molecule: long non-coding RNA, 3409 nt
Organism: Amblyraja radiata (thorny skate)
Lineage: Eukaryota; Metazoa; Chordata; Chondrichthyes; Rajiformes; Rajidae
Exons: 4
Source: RefSeq, a predicted model, not a curated record
GGUCACUCCAGUCAUAUCCACCAGCUUCUUUUCAGCAUCAAGGAUUUAACUGAUUCCUUCCUGUCAUUUGGCAGCAUUGUGGUGUGUGCUGGAUUAUGUCAGUACAUCGGAUUCGAUUACAAUGAAUCACCGCACACUUUAAAAAUUGAGCGUAACCAAAAUCUUGAACUGUUUGACAGAGGAAGCCGAUUUUGAAUGUCAUGUAUUUUCGUCCGACCGAUGACCUCUUAGGAAAAGGCAGACAUUUUGUUGCACGAGUGGACCCAGAAGGUUGAGCAGAUGGAUAAAAGUGCACCUUUCAUCAAGAUGAUAAAGAAGAGGACAUAAGGAUGCUACAAAGAAUUAUUAAGUGGUUAAGUGAGUGGGCAAAGAUCUGACAAACGGUGUAUAAUAUUCAAAGGUUCAAAGAGCAACAGAAAGAUCAUUGAAAUUUAGGCCAUAUUCUUGUACAUACGUCAACAGUUCGUCACGCCUGUCCUCCACUCUUCUGGUUACAAAGGCUACAAGAUAAUUGAUCCUGUGAAAUUAAUUGAUCAUUUGCCGUGGAAGAAAACUAUUGAGGCCUUCAGAUGGCUCAAUAGUCAUAAUGUCGGAAGGUUUCACCUUCGUGACCGGAACGCGUUAAGAAGCACAGAUAUCACAAUGACCUCCCAUUAUUAAUAUUGAUUUACAAAAUCUACGUGGUAAACCAUCUACUGUCUUUAAAAAAUAGUCACCUGCAUCAGGAGAGAGCUCAUUCAAAUUACAGGAAAUCACAAAUGUUGGAAAAAUCUGUGGAUCAUGAAAUCUGGGGAAAGAAUGUCAAAUGCCAAGGAAUAUUUUUGGGAGAUUUCUUUGCCAAUGCUGACUGAUAUUUUACAUUCCUCAUUUUCCAAGCUAGUUGAGGAGCAGACUUGACAUGUGUUGUUUUAUUCCGAUGCGUUAUCAGAAUGAUUGGUGCAGCCCAGCUCCUCUAGACUGACAUCAACCUCGUCAAACCAAAGAGGAUGAGGUGGAAAGGAAUGAAACUGGAUCUCAUUGCACCAUGUUCUGAAUGCAAAGUGAAAAGAAACAGCAAGAUAGAAUUUCAAAAGUUCCCAGUGCUAUAACAACCUGGGCAAAAUUCCAACAUCUCUGCCUGUUGCUUUAAACAGCCAUUAGUUUUAACUAUGAAAAUGAAGUAUUUAAAGGCAGUUUCUCCUUAGUGUGGUAAUAAACUAUUGAGAGACCUAACCCUGAGUCACUGGAGAAAGAGAUGAAACUAUCUAAAAAAUUGAUUCAAGUGUUUCAAUGUUAACAAAAGGAAUAAACUGCAGAAAGCAAAUAGACUGUAAGAAAUGGGAUAAAGUGACAAAAUAUGCAGGGUCAUCUAUGACUGAAUGGAAACUGGCAAUGUGGCUCUAAUUUAUUUUGAACAGAAGGCUCCCUGGUUUCAUUCCCAGUGUUUGCUAAAUUAGCCAACCUCAGCACGAGAGAUAGUAGGGAAGCUACAUUUCACCUCAAAGCCACGGGAAAUAAAAGAAUAAUCAGCCUUGGUUCCUCUCAAGUCUUAUUGUGGCCUCAGCAGGAGGGGAUACAAAUGUAAAAGGAGUCCAUUAGAGGAUCUUCUUCAGAUGUGAUGCCUCCUAUGGUUAAAUAGGCUGAAACGCUCACUGUCAAGGCUGAUAAAUAAAGGAAGGUCAUUUUGGGUCAGUUUCUGGAAGAUUGCUGGCACCUGUGGCCCUGUCAAUCAAGGCAGAUCAGGAAGAAAAACAAACAACAGAACAGAUAGAAACCAUUGGAAUUCAUAUCCUCAUUUUAGUCGAUAUGGAUUCACACCAGCUCAAAAUACCCAUGCCCACACUUUAUAUUUACUGUGCCAACAAUCACAAUCUGCCGCACGCAUUUAAUCAGACAGAGUGCAGAAUAUUUAACUACAUUUGCAAUGUUUACCAUUCAAUUUUAUUUCCACUGGUCUGCUGACUAUCAAAAAUUUUGCACAUGGUUGCAUUUUUUGACCUUGCACUUUAUUUGUUUUCCAAAUAUAUCGAUGAAGUUUUGCAACUUUUCCUUCAUAGACAGUCUUAAGUGCUGGAAUUAAUAGAACAUUGAAUCCAUAGACAAUUUUUAAUGCUUUUUUCUGAAUCACACCAAAAUUUAAAAAAAUGCAAGGAUGAAUAUAGUGGUAUAAUCAAGGUCAAUAUAAGUUCUGUAAACCUACAGUUAAAUACCUCUAGCUUCUCCCCUGGUAUUUGAUCAGCUUUCAGUUGGUAAUUCUUUUAACAAGCAAAUCAAUCUUAUAUUUAUUUUCAUUUUGCCUUUUCCCAGCUGUUGCUGUCCAAAUCUAUCAAAUCUCUCUCUCUCUGAGGGCUGUAUUGUCUUCUUCAGUUAAAAAAAACAAGCCAAAAUACUCUUUUUUUCAUUGUAUUUUAUAGCCCAUUUGUAAAAUCCCAAGGACAUAGUUUUGAAAUGUGGACCACUGAGAAACCAGCUUCAUUACUGUUAAUUAAACACUGACAGGGAAUCAUAAUAAAUCUUCGGUGAUCUUUUAAUGUUGUUGCACGUUUUCAAAAGUGACUGAACAAUAAAAUGGCUGAUUUAAUGACCUGAAUGUACUUGUGAAGAGCAAUAAUAGAAUCAUGGAGACAUGCAUAUUGGAGAAACAGAAUGAUAUUGUGUGGAACUUUUAAAUCAACAAUUUGGCAGACUUGGAGUCAGGCCAGUAAUAGGUAGCAACGGAGAAACAGCAUAAAUCAAAUAUGGACAUGUAAAUUAAGGAGCUGUCAAAUAAUGCCCUAAAUUUUAUCCUACUUUUUCACUAUAAUUAACAAAGAUGGGCGGGUGUAGCAAUUGCACAGUUCUCAUCUGUGGGGAAGGCAAAACUUACUGAAGAGUCUGGCAUAAAAUUCAUGAGCAAGUUAUUUCUGGCAACCUGUUGGUUGGAGGUCUAUUGCCAUCAGUUUCUAAACAAAGCCAUAGAGAUGGCUAUGCAGUUUCUCUUCAGGUUACAUGGAGGCCAAUUCCUCUGAAUUCAUACCCUAAUCCCCAGGAACCAUGAACUUACGUGCAGGUUGGUAAAAUGUCAAGACUCAAGCAAUCUGUGUGUGCCAUGCCUUUUCUACAAGAGAUUUUAUUCAGUUAAUCAGUUACAGAAUGGUGAAGAGAUCAAAAACUACCAGGCAGUUUUGCAAACAUCAAAACAUCAAUCAAUUUAUCAAUCAUUACAUUACAAUAUUGUCAUCCAUAUCCGCAACGCACUCGUGGUGAUGAGCAUUCACGGAAGGCAUGCCUUUUCUAUUAGGACAUUGAUCCACUGAAUUGUAGCUUUUGCAUUUAUAGUGCUAUAUUCCAUGAUUUUAGAUUUAGACCUCCAAGAUGAUAUAAUGAAUGGCCAAUCGGAUAUGUAAACCCUCAUUCAUAUUGUGUUACUCAACAGUGUUCUGGAGAAAAG